RNAcentral lists this transfer RNA (71 nucleotides) under Ailuropoda melanoleuca (giant panda). It matches the Rfam family "tRNA". Rfam says of the family: Transfer RNA (tRNA) molecules are approximately 80 nucleotides in length. The record is from Rfam by way of RNAcentral. Lineage: Eukaryota; Metazoa; Chordata; Mammalia; Carnivora; Ursidae.
ACCUGGCUGGCUCAGUUGGUAGAGCGUGUGACUCUUAUCUCAGGGUUGUGGGUUCAAGCCCCAUUUGGGUG